AGAGUUUCAUCCUGGCUCAGGAUGAACGCUGGCGGCGUGCCUAACACAUGCAAGUCGAACGAAGCAGGGGGGCGGAAUCUCUCCGGAGGGGAAGCCCCCCUGACUGAGUGGCGGACGGGUGAAUAACGCGUGGACAACCUACCCCGCACUGGGGGACAACAGCCGGAAACGGCUGCUAAUACCGCAUAUGCGCACGGCCCCGCAUGGGGCCGCGCGGAAAGCGCAUGCGGUGCGGGAUGGGUCCGCGUCUGAUUAGCUUGUUGGCGGGGUAACGGCCCACCAAGGCGACGAUCAGUAGCCGGCUUGAGAGAGUGGACGGCCACAUUGGGACUGAGACACGGCCCAGACUCCUGCGGGAGGCAGCAGUGGGGAAUAUUGCACAAUGGGGGGAACCCUGAUGCAGCAAUGCCGCGUGGGUGAAGAAGCACUCCGGUGCGUAAAGCCCUGUCAGCAGGGAAGAAAAUGACGGUACCUGACCAAGAAGCCCCGGCUAAAUACGUGCCAGCAGCCGCGGUAAUACGUAUGGGGCAAGCGUUAUCCGGAUUUACUGGGUGUAAAGGGAGCGUAGGCGGCAGGGCAAGCCUGAUGUGAAAGCCCGGGGCUCAACCCCGGGACUGCAUUGGGAACUGCCCCGCUCGAGUGCCGGAGGGGCAGGCGGAAUUCCUAGUGUAGCGGUGAAAUGCGUAGAUAUUAGGAGGAACACCAGUGGAGAAGGCGGCCUGCUGGACGGUGUACUGACGCUGAGGCUCGAAAGCGUGGGGAGCAAACAGGAUUAGAUACCCUGGUAGUCCACGCCGUAAAC
Molecule: ribosomal RNA, 802 nt
Filed under: uncultured bacterium
Lineage: Bacteria
Description: bacterial SSU rRNA
Rfam family: Bacterial small subunit ribosomal RNA
Source: RNAcentral